RNAcentral lists this long non-coding RNA (922 nucleotides) under Drosophila melanogaster (fruit fly). RNAcentral describes it as "long non-coding RNA:CR42859 (Dmel_CR42859)". Lineage: Eukaryota; Metazoa; Arthropoda; Insecta; Diptera; Drosophilidae. The record is from RNAcentral.
CUACUACGAUAGUUACUUAUAUUAUUGAUUCAUCGCGUUACCAUUAAACUUUAUGUCAGAUCGGAAUACAAAUCUUUUUGAAGAGGCUUGAAAAUUUAGUAAAGUAAACAAAAUGAAGCUGUCAUUCAUACUGGGUCUUGCCGUUUUUAGUCUUUUGGCUUCUACAGGAGCAUUGCCGGUGCCUCAAGCUCCAUUGGUUAUGGCAUUGGUCACCAAACCCGAAAUGGAUAUUCCAGAUAUUGAUCUCUGGGCCAGGACUUAAAAGGAUACUUUAGACUGCCUUCUGCACACUGUUUUUCGCCCUGAUUCGCUGCAUAUUUGGAAAAGAAUUUUUAAUUAAAACAAACAAUAUGUUACCCAAAUUGUUGCUGCUGCUUUUGGAGCGCCGAAAAGCUGUGCAAAAUUGCACAUAUUGGACAAGAGGCUGCGACGGGUUGUUGCUAAUGCAUUUACUUGGCUUAAUUAGUUGAGAUUCUACAUUAUUCAUACGCCACGUGUGACCAGCGGCCACCCACUCGCCUGCAAAUGCCCACCCGCCCAAUGUGCUGAUGCCUGCCGUCUCCUUCUUUUCCUGACAGCAUCAUAAUUUUCACUUAAUUAAAGUUGUCGUUGUUGAGGGUGCUGAGUUUGAGGUUUAGCCCGGGGAGCAGUUAGAGAGUUGUGGCGGUGCAUUCGGGUCGAAAGUUGGGCGGCGGGGGAAAAACACGGUAUUUGUACUCACAAGUUUUCGCUCUUAAUUUAAUCCAGUCUAACUACGAAAGUUUUCGAAUGCCUGGGUGGUAGUUUGAUCGCAAGAGCUGGUUAUUAAAAUAUCUUACGGUUUCGGAGGGAAUUUGAAUGCAUAUGAAAAGCACCUGGAAAUAUGCAAAUAUUUUCACUUAAAGAGAUUCAAUCCCUUCAAAAGCUUACCUACUAAAGUCGG